GUGGUCUAGAUGUCUUGUCAAACUCAUGUUGGUGCAGCGCCCGUGGAGGUUUCACGAUAUCGUGGAGGAGGCACCUGGUCCGAGGAGGUUUGGCACCAGCUCUUUCUCAGAGGUGGGGAGGAGUGUUGCGUUAGUAACACUACCCUUUACCCCGUCUCCCGGUUGGAAAGACCAUACUGUGAUCAAAGGUUCUUUGAAGAUCCGUCUUUAUGGAGGUCCUGGGCUGAUUGGAAACGCCUUUGGGGAGAGAGCUGGAUUGAUUGGACGGUUCCUGUUUCUGUAUAGAUGGAGUGGUACUGGGGGGAGGCACACGGAUGCUCUCUGUCCCCCUCUCUCCCGCUCUCGCUCGCUCCCCAGAGAUCGUCCGCAAAUUAAUACAAAUCGGAGCCCUCUUCUCCGCCCGAGCCUCGCCGCUCACCUUCCCCCCAGGUAGGAAAUACAGAGAGGACGAUGGAGCAGGUGCAGCCAAGUGCAGAGCAAUCGGAAGAGAAAUGAUUGGAAUAUCAGCGAGUGAGUGCUUUUGUGCUUGAGAGACUGCGUGCGUGUGUGUGCGUGUGCGCAAAAGGAGGGAAACGCGUAUGAAAAACUGAUAUCACAAGGACUUGGGGGAUAAAACAUAUGGUGUUUCAGCUCUGCUGCUGAUACCUGUGGGAUUAAAGAUCUCUACUGUAUGCCUUGGUUAAACAUCUGGACAGAUGUUUUGAAAAUGUGCAACUGUCAUUUUGGGCAAAGUCAUUCGCACGCCAGGCUUAACGGAUUUCCAGGAACCUCGUUUAGUCGCACAGCAGAAGAAAGCCCACCGCGUGCUCGUGUGAACCCGCGUGACUUUGAGCGGGUUAUUGUUGCGGCGUCGGGCCACACAAAGCGGGCAGGAACCGCACAGCGGUGGUGGCAGACUGACCCCUUCUGGCGCGGACCGUCCCAGUCUGACGGACUGGUUUGUGCUGCUGGUUCUGUCUCACUGGACAAGAAGACCUUGUUAAAUAAUCACCCUCGUGAAACGUGUCUUUGUGGCGCCGUCUGUCAGUUCUCAGCGGCUCUUUCUGAAGGUUGUCUGUCUGUUAGUCACCAUUUAACUGUGUGG
This is a long non-coding RNA of Gasterosteus aculeatus aculeatus (three-spined stickleback), 1084 nucleotides long. The record is from Ensembl. Lineage: Eukaryota; Metazoa; Chordata; Actinopteri; Perciformes; Gasterosteidae.